UAAAUAAAGACGUUUUAUGAAGCACUCAAUCAAUUCAGUUUUGUCUACAAAGUUGCAAAUAUCAGAAUGAACCUCAAAGUAGUGAUUAGUUUGGCAGUGCUUUUGUUGGGGGUUUUGGGUGCAGUAAACGCAGAAGAUGAAGAAGUUUUUACUACUACUACUGAUACUACUACUACUACCACCACCACCUCUGAAGAAAGUUCAGAAACUGAAACUCCAAUAGAGGAACUGAAGCGUAGACAAAUGGGUGCUUUCGCACGAGCCAUGUGAACCGGAACAAGUUGGGGAAUAUAGAAAUACCAUCGUUGAAUUUAUUCGAAUUUACAAACGAAGCGAAUUAAAAUAAGAUGAAAAGUCGGUAAAUUA
Molecule: long non-coding RNA, 366 nt
Organism: Bradysia coprophila
Lineage: Eukaryota; Metazoa; Arthropoda; Insecta; Diptera; Sciaridae
Source: RefSeq, a predicted model, not a curated record